Molecule: non-coding RNA, 144 nt
Organism: Podarcis lilfordi (Lilford's wall lizard)
Lineage: Eukaryota; Metazoa; Chordata; Lepidosauria; Squamata; Lacertidae
Source: the annotation of a GenBank genome assembly
GGAAUAGCUCAGUGGUAGAGCAUCUGCUUCCCAGGUUCCCAGGUUCAGUCCUCAGCCUCUCUCUAUGCAGGUCUGGGUACACCAAUGGUGGCAUAGUGGUUAGAGUGCUGGACUAGGUCCUGGGUUCAAAUCCCCAUUAAGCCA